GGCCAAGCUAGCAGAUGUUACAAAUGUUUCUUAGGUGUCAUUACAACAAAGAGGUUAUCAAUAGUUGUCACAAAAGACAAAUUAAUCCAUAUUAGAAUUUACACAAUUUAUUAAUUUUAGUGUUGUACUUACAAUAAUACUAUUUACCAUUGACACAGAUGCAUUUCAAUAGUUUAACAAUUGAGACAGUCAUGCUGGUCUCUAUCAGUGAAAUAUCAUAUCUGCUUAUAAUCCCAACCAAUACUGGAUAUUAUUAAUCUUUUAAAGUUUUGGGAAUCCGAGAGGCCAACGUUGUUAAUUCACAUUUAAUCAUGAAUGAAUUUGUGCAUCUUUACAUAUAUUAGUUGGUCUUUUUACCCUCCCCUUGAAUUGCUGAUUUAUAUCCCUAGCCCAUUUUAUUGAUUUAUAAAUAUUAAUAUUACAUACAUGAUAUGAUUGUCCAAGUAUUUCCUUUGCCCAUUUAAAUUUACUGAUAAAUGUUUUUAUUAAGAAAAUUAGUCCUUUGUCUACAUAAGUCCUACAAAUAUUUUUCCCCAAUUUGUAGUUCAUCUUUUUCCUGUAGAAUCAUUUUAAAUGACAGGUCUUCAAGUGUCUUCAUCACUUUUCCUUUCGCUUCUGUGCUUUAUACUUUUUUUUUUUUUUUGGUUUUUUUUUUUUUUUCCUUUUUGGGGAGAACGGGGUCUCGCUAUAUUGCCCAGGCAGGUCUUGAACGCCUGGGCUCAAGCUAUGCUCCUGCCUCUUGCCUCCCUGAGAGCUGGGAUUACAGGCAUGAGCCACCGUGCCUGGCCAUGGCUUCUGUGUUUCAUUUAACGCUUUGAAAGCCCCAUCUUCUCAAAGAUUAUAUGAAAAGCUUAUUCCAGUUUUUAAAAUAUUUGAUACAAGGGUAAUGUACUUUGGUAUAAGGAGUGAGGUAUAGAUCCAGCUUUAUAUUUUUCUUUUUUUUUUUGAGACGGAGUCUUGCCUUGUCACCCAGGCUGGAGUGCAGUGCAAGACUUUGUCUAAUAAAAUAAAAUAAAGCACAUUUCUGAUACCGUAUUUCUACUCAAAAGCUCUGACAGGCUGGGCACAGUGUCUCACGCCUGUAAUCCCAGCACUUUGGGAGGUUGAGGUGGGCAGAUCACCGGAGGUUGGGAGUUCAAGACCCGCUUGGCCUACAUGGAGAAACCGUCUUUACUAAAAACAAAAAAAUUAGCCGGGUGUGGUGAUGGGCACCUGUAAUCCCAGCUACUUGGGAGGCUGAGGCAGGAGAAUCACUUGAACCUGGGAGGCAGAGGUUGCAGUGAGCCGAGAUUGCACCACUGCACUCCAGCCUCAGCGAGACAGCGAGACUCCAUCUCAACAAAAAAGCUCUGACAAAGAAAGAAUGGCCUAGAAUGUCAGGUAUGGUGCUGACAUACCUGUUCAAUUUCAUUAACCACUAAACUUCAAACUGGUUUUCUUUUUAUAUUUUUAAAUUUUUUUCCCCAAGCAAACUCACAAACUGCGAUUCUAUCUGAAAGAGUCUUCCCUACCUUCUUUGCCUAGUUAACUUUUAUUUUUCCCUAAGAUUUCAGCUUAAGCAUCGUUGCUUCAAGGAAGGCUUCUUUUAUAUACUUGCUUACCACCACAGGCCUCUUUUUCUCAUUUCUUGAAAUAGUUUUACAAUUUGUGAAAUUAAUUGGCUGAGUCCCCAGCAAAAUAAGCUCAUUAAAGUCAGGGUGUGUGUAUAUUGGGGGGGGCGGUCUUUUUUUUUGAGACAGAGUCUCGCUCUGUCACCCAGGCGGGAGUGCAGUGGCGCGAUCUCUGCUUACUGCAAGCUCCGCCUCCCGGGUUCACACCAUUCUCCUGCCGCAGCCUCCCAAGCAGCUGGGACUACAGGCGCCUGCUACCACGCCCGGCUAAAUUUUGUAUUUUUAGUAGAGACGGGGUUUCACCGUGUUAGCCAGGAUGGUCUCGAUCCCCUGACCUCGUGAUCCACCCGCCUCGGUCUCCCAAAGUGCUGGGAUUGCAGGCGUGAGCCACCGCGCCCGGCCUAUUGGGGGUCUUUUUUGCAUUAUCACUGUAUCCCUACACUCAGCACAGUACUAGGUUCAUACAGGAAGGGGUUAAUAAAUAUGUGAUUAAUAUCUAUUGUCCCUUCACAUUCAGGGUGCCAAAUUCAAAGGCUGUUUCUUCUCAAUGUUUUAUUAUUCAGGCCACCACUAGCACAAUCCUUUGAAAAUAAUUUUUUUUUUUUUUUUUUUUUUUUUUUUUUUUGAGACGGAUUCUCGCUCUGUCGCCCAGGCUGGAGUGCAGUGGCGCGAUCUCGGCUCACUGCAACCUCCGCCUCCCGGGUACACGCCAUUCUCCUGCCUCAGCCUCCCGAGUAGCUGAGACUACAGGCGCCCGCUGCCACGCCCGGCUAAUUUUUGGUAUUUUUAGUAGAGUCAGGGUUUCACCGUGUUAGCCAGGAUGGUCUCGAUCUCCUGACCUCGUGGUCCGCCCACCUCGGCCUCCCAAAGUGCUGGGAUUACAGGCGUGAGCCACCGCGCCUGGCCGAAAAUAGAUUUUUAUAAGGUAAAAGAUUUUAUUAAGUACCAUUUGGUAAAAAAAGAUUGAAUGAGGAAUUUAGUACCUAGGCCCAUCAUCAUAAACGUGAGUAUUUUUACUGUUUUCCAUGAAGAGACUAUAAUUAUCACAUGAAGUAAUUCUCCAUAAGGAUUACAAAACAUAUGAGUUGUUUCAUUAUUAAAUGGUGCUUACUAUUAAAAAGAUACUUUACAUGGAGAACUAAUUCCACCAAAGUGAGUAGGUAUAAAAUAGAGCAAAAAUAUUGAACUUAAUCAUUUAUUCUUCAACAAGUGCUUAUUAUGCAAAUAGCAGCAAUCUGCUUUUACAUUAUCUUUUUCCCUUUAUCACCAGAUGAGAAAUUUCUCCCCAUUAUCAUUUUGUGUAAUUUCACUUGUUCUUGUGUAAAUACUUCUGUUUGGUUUUUAAUAAAAAUUGCUCAGUGGCAAAUAUUACAGAAAAACCAAGGUUUUUAUUCUUGAUAAUUUACUGAUAGUCUAGUGUUAACAAAAUUAUUACAGGUGGGAAUGCUUCCUUUUUUCGUAAGUAUUAACAACUUGUAUAUACACUAAUUACAACUUCAAAAUAUUUUACACAAAUAUUCUUUUUCAUAUUAGUAUCUAACUUAAUUAUCUCAGCAACAGCAUUAGUAUAGCAUGGACUACUAUAAACCAAACAUCUUCAAAGUAAAAACUUGCAAAUAUCUUGCUGAAAAUAGAAAAGUUGAAACCAAGAUACUGCCAAUAUAAAAAUGUAAAGCAGGGAAAUGUUUUACCACUGCCAUCUUCCCUAUAUUCUUUCUCUAAUGUAACCUCCAAACUGUAACCUCAGCAUAUCAAAAGAAUUUUCAAAGAGAAAACUAAUCCUAAAUUUCAUGUUUAAUAACAUAUGCCUUGUAUAGGGAACAUUCUCUUAACCAUUUUUUAAUCACUACAACCCAGAAAGACAUGGUUUGGUCUAAAAUUUUCACCAGUUUGUUAUAAAUAAAAUGUAUUCAUAAGUAGAACUUUCUUCAGAAUGUAUUUUUUUUAAGAGACAAGGUCUUACUUACUAUGUUGCCCAGGCUGGAGUGCAGUGGUUAUUCACAGGCACGAUCCCACAACCGAUCAGCAUGGGAGUUUUUAUGUAUUGUAGUGCAAAAAUGUAGGAAUGUCUAGCUUUUUUGAUGUCAAAGUUGUAAUUUAGGGAUUUACUUGAAGAGUGUCAAGAGAUUCUCAAACACACAAAAUGCUGCUAGGAAAUUACAGUUGAACCUUGAACACCACAAAUUUGAAUAGUGCGGGUCAACUUACAUGCAAUUUUUACUUUUUUUUUCUUUUCUGAGACAGGGUCUCACUCUGUCGCCCAGGCUGGCAUGCAGUGGUGUGAUCGCGGCUCACUGCAGCCUCAACCUCCCAGGCUCAAGCAAUUCUCCUGCCUCACAGCCUCCUGAGUAGCUGGGACCACAGGCAGGUGCCACAUGCCCAGCUAAUUUUUCUUUUGUAGAGAUGGGGUCUCACUACGUCGACCAGGCUGAUUUUGAACUCCUGGCCACAAAACAGUCCUCCCGCCUCAGCCUUCCAAAGUGCUGGGAUUACAGGUAUGAUACUGUACCCAGGCAUACAAACAAUUUUUUUUUCCCAAACAAACUAGGAUUGAAAAUACAGUACUGUCAGGAUGCAAAACCCAUAUAAAUGAUAGGCCUACUUUUUGUAUACUUGGAUUCUGCAGGGAAGACUGUGAGACUUGAGUAUGGGUGGAAUUUGGUAUGCAGUGGUUCUGGUACCAAUCCCCUUCGUAUAUAGAGGAACAGCUGUACACAAAUGAGGAAUGAAGCACUUCUAAUUCAGGGUAUUUUCUAAAUUAAAGUAUUAUUAUGAUUUUUUCAGAGGCAGGAUCUCGCUAUCUUGCCCAGGCUGGUCUACAACUCCUGGGUUCAAGCAAUCCUCCUGCCAUGGCCUCCCAAAGUUCUGGGAUUACAGGCAUGAGCCACCAUGCCUGGCUGUAAUUCAAUUUUUAAAGGGAAAUUUAAAAAUAGUAUAAGGCUCAAAGGUUCAAUUAAAGAAACCAUUUAUGAAGGAGAAUAAUAAAAUAUUACUUUGUGUACAUAUGUCAGUGCAGAGAAUUGGGUAAGGGUGAUUUUUAGCUCUGUUAAGACUUGCUUCAGAAUGCCAUACCACAGUCUGAAAGAAUCAUAUGAAAGUAAGAUAUUAUUUUAAAAACAAAAGUGCCGGGCACGGUGGCUUAAGCCUGUAAUCCCAGCACUUUGGGAGGCCAAGGUGGGUGGAUCACCUGAGGUCAGGAGUUUAAGACCAGCCUGGCCAACAUGGUGAAACCCUGUCUCCAUUAAAAAUUUAAAAAAUUAGCUGGGCGUGGUGGCGGGCACCGGUAAUCCUAGCUAUUAGGGAGGCUGAGACAUGAGAAUUGCUUGAACCCAGGAAUCAGAGGUUGCAGUGAGCUGAGAUUGCGCCACACACUCCAGCCUGGGCGAGAGAGCAAGACUCCGUCUCCAAAAAAAAAAAAAAAAAAAAAAAAAGGGUCACAAUUCCCUAAAGCCUAAAACUGGAUAAAAUGUGCACUAACAAAAAUGAAUAUUUAGAAGUAUUCAACUAGUUUUGUUCACUAUGAAAAAUAAUUUUAAGUUGUAGAAGCAUUAUUUCAUUCAACAUUUUGUUACAUCACAAAAUUUUUAAAUGACUAAAUUUUAAACAAUAUUUAAACAAAAAUAUUUACUUCACAUUUUAAUUCAAUGCAAAUUUUCACUAAUUUAGAAGUCUAUGUUAAUACAGAUUGAGUAUACCCUUUCCAAAAUGCUUGGGACCAGAGUUUCUCAGGUUUCAGACUUUUUCAGAUUUUGGAAUAUGUGCAGAAAUACAGUGGUUGAGUUUUCCUAAUCCAAAAAUCUGAAAUGCAAAAUGCUCCAAUGAACAUUUCCUUUAAAGUGUCACAUCGGCACUCAAAAAUGUUCUUAUCUGAAGCAUUCUGAAUUUUGGAUUGGGGUGCUCAAUGGCUGUAUGAGUAUUUGGGGAAUUCCUGGAAAUGGACACAUUAUUACAUAUAAAACUGUCUUACAGACCUUAGAAAUAAGGUUUUACAAUGGUUCAUAAGCUUUACAAAUCUUCCUAAACUACUUUUUAAAAAACAAUGCUUAAUUAUAUAGAUUUUGAUUUUUUUUUUUUUUUUUUUUGAGACGGAGUCUCACUCUGUCACCUAGGCUGGAGUGCAGUGGCACGAUCUUGGCUCACUGCAACCUCUGCCUCCCGGGUUCAAGCGAUUCUCCUGCCUCAGCCUCCCAAGUAGCUGGGACUACAGGCGCCCGCCACCAUGCCCGGCUAAUUUAUUGUAUUUUUAGUAGAGACGGGGUUUCACCAUGGUCUUGAUCUCCUGAUCUCGUGAUCCACCCGCCUCGGCCUCCCAAAGUGCUGGGAUUACAGGCGUGAGCCACCGCGCCCGGCCCAGUUCUGUUUUUUUGUUUUGUUUUGUUUUGUAUUUUGUGUUUUUCUUGAGAUGGAGUUUCACUCCUGUUGCCCAGGCUGGAGUGCAAUGGCGCGAUCUCAGCUCACCGCAACCUCUGCCUCCUGGGUUCAAGCAAUUCUCCUGUCUCAGCUUCCCCAGUAGCUGAGAUUACAGGUAUGCACCACCAUGCCUGGCUAAUUUUGUAUUCUUAGUAGAGAUGGGGUUUCUCCACAUUGGUCAGGCUGGUCUCAAACUCCCAACCUCAGGUGAUCCACCUGCCUCGGCCUCCCAAACUGCUGGGAUUACAGGCGUAAGCCACCAUGCCCAGCCUGUUUUAAAAAUUCUAAUGAACUGGCCUGGUGCGGUGGCUGACACCUGUAAUCCCGGCACUUUGGGAGGCUGAGGCGGGCGGAUCACGAGGUCAGGAGAUCGAGACCAUCCUGGUUAACACGGUGAAACCCCAUCUCUACUAAAAAUACAAAAAAUUAGCCAGGCAUGGUGGUGGGCGCCUGUAGUCCCAGCUACUCGUGAGGCUGAGGCAGAAGAAUGGUGCAAACCCGGGAGGCAGAGCUUGCAGUGAGCCGAGAUCGUGCCAUUGCACUCCAGCUUGGGUGACAGAGUGACUCUGUCUCAAACAACAACAACAAAAUUCUAAUUAAUAAUUAGAUUGGAAAUCAUUAUUUAAAAAAUUAGUUAUGACUCAGAAAAUAUUAUUAUAUAAAAAUUCAAGGAGAGGACAUUAUUAGGGUCAUCUUACCAUUAUUAGCCAUAGCAGUACUGUGUCUUGCACACAUCUACAAAUCAUGGUUUUUUUUUUUUUUUU
This 6784-nucleotide long non-coding RNA is filed under the name Homo sapiens (human). Its description in RNAcentral is "PREDICTED lncRNA (TCONS_00157545)". Lineage: Eukaryota; Metazoa; Chordata; Mammalia; Primates; Hominidae. The record is from RNAcentral.